Camelus dromedarius (Arabian camel) is the source of this 2166-nucleotide long non-coding RNA. RefSeq lists it as uncharacterized. Lineage: Eukaryota; Metazoa; Chordata; Mammalia; Artiodactyla; Camelidae. The transcript has 2 exons. The record is from RefSeq and is a predicted model, not a curated record.
ACACAUUUUGUGUUUUAUUAGUGGUGGUAAAAUGUUGGAAGCAAAGUAAUAUUUUUUGCUUUAAUAAUGUCUGUGUCAAUCAUUUACAUUUUAUGGAAGACGUUUUCCCACUUAAAUCGUAUGUUUCAUUCUUUUUGGGAUGUUAAAUGGCUUACUUAUUUUUCCAUAGACUCUCACAUUUCAAUUUACUUUUACAGAUGGAUAAGUAUAGUGCUCUGGCACAGGUGAUUUUAAUAAGUAAAAUAAUUUCCUACGUGUUUUUAGAUUUUAAAGCAUUUUAUAUUCUGAAUUUAACAUUUGAACAUAUAGGAAAUGUCCUAGUCUGUUUUCAAAUGUGGUAAUCACAGUCAUUCUUUAGCAUCGUUUGACAUAAUCAGUUCUAUUUGAAAGUGUAAGUUUCUGAAGGCUUACAUAAAUUCAUCUUGAAAUAAGAUAAUGGUAGUGGGCGUCUUAAAAUGUCCUAUGCAUAUUUGAAAGGUUACAUUAAAAUAUAAUCUAGUAGUCUUUGGCCAGUUUCUUGAUUUUUUUUUUUAAGUCUUGGACCCUUCUCUUUUAUCACCAGAAUUACCUGUCUUUAUCAUUGAGAUUUUUUUUUUGUAAUAAAGAUGUGUUAUUCCUUAAUUUAUUUUAAAAUGCUUUCAUACUAGAAAGCAUGGUGCUAAUUUUAAUAUGCAAAUUUUAUAUAAUCUGGCCCAGUGAGAUAUGUAUUUCUGCUUGUUAAACAGCAUCCUUUCCUUUGUUUUAGUAUGUAGCAUAAUAUGUAUUAAAACAUUUUUAAGUAUUAGAAAAGCAAUGAAUAUGGCAAGGUAUUCUACAUUAAGCUUAAUAGAAUAAUGACACAAAGAAAUUCUUUCUAGAUGCACGAUUUUGGGUGUAUUUUAUGGAUACCAAAAAAAAUGGGAGCUACUGCAUCUGUAACCAGUGAAACUUCAGUAGAUUAACUGUAACCUCCUUACAACACAUUUUAGUUGUGGUUAAAUGUAAUAAAGCUGCUUAAUUUUGACUUUAUGUUUUCUUGUUACUGCUUGGUGAGAAUCAUAUUUGCUGCUUAACAGUGAAAGCAUCCUAUCCAUGAAAUUUCUUUCCCUGUCUUAACCUUAAUAGAAUUUUCUGUAUAAUUUUGUCAUUUGGGUUUCUAUAAAUAUAGCAGAUCUUCAGAAGGCUAUAAUCCUAGGCACAUGAAAGAAAGAAAAUUAUAUAAAACUUAUAUCAGGAUGAUGCUAAUUUGCUUGCCUAUGAAUGAUAUAUUACUCCAUUUUGUUACUUUACUUUAAAUGACAGACUGUAUUUAUUACUGUACUUUGUCAAUUUUUGGAUGGGGAGGUGCUUAAAAUCAGCUAUCUGGUCUGUCAGGAAAUGCCAACUAUUAAAUUAAAAUUUUUUUAUCACAUGUUGAUUUCUAUUGCAAACUUACAUUAGCAACUUGCUUUUUAGUAUUUUAGAUUUCGAAAGUUUAUUCCCAUUAAUAUUUUUAAGCAACCAUUAAGAAUUUAAGUAACUAAUUUAGACAUUGCCAUUUGCAGGUAGCCACAUAUGUGGUGCAGGCAAAUGGUAACUCGUUCCUUUUACAAGAAUCAUAUGCUUGGCGAUAGAACCAAAUUGGUGAAUCUGAGGGUUCAUUUGGUAAUUUGACUGUAAAUGCACAAAGGCUAAGGUCAGCUCUUUUACCGUGUACAUGUACUAAUUCACAGUUGGUUUGUGGUUUUGGUAAACAUGAAAGAAACCUGACGGGAACUGUCAGGCUCGCUUUUGUCCUCACCUUCUUUCUAUGGCAUUUGAAUUCUGUGCAUGAAAUACAACCUUGACUGGAACUGAAUUUUGUGACAAAAGUUCUUUUCUAGUUUGUGAGGUUGUGCCUCUGUUACUGGCAGGUGGUUGCAAGAACCUGGUGAAAUUGUCGGGGUUCAGAGGCUCGGCAUGUUCAGGGAGAGGUUACAGGGGAGCAGAUUCAGUGAGUGUGUCCCCCCAAAAGGAGCCAGACCUCCUGGGCUUAAGAACCGCAAGAAGGCUGCGCAGUUGGCUGAAUAGUUUUGUUCACAUACUUUUGCAUGUUUGUCGUGCACUUCAGCUCAUCAUACUGGAGGGCAGGAAAGGUUUAUAUUUUAUGCUCGACGCUUGGAAGCAUUUAGAUUGGAAAAUGAGAAAAAUAAAAAUGUUUAUUCUAAA